GUCGCUACUACCGAUUGAAUGGCUUAGUGAGGUUUCCGGAUUGGCUUUGAGGACCCGGCAACGGGAUCUUAUUGCUGAGAAGCUACCCAAACUUGGUCAUUUAGAGGAAGUAAAAGUCGUAACAAGGUUUCC
RNAcentral lists this ribosomal RNA (132 nucleotides) under uncultured Ascomycota. RNAcentral's name for it is "partial small subunit ribosomal RNA". It matches the Rfam family "Eukaryotic small subunit ribosomal RNA", at positions 1675 to 1804 of the family's 1831-position model. The record is from RNAcentral. Lineage: Eukaryota; Fungi; Ascomycota.